CACGGAGCCCCUGCCCAGCUGCCCUCCUUGACGUCAGGAGCUUCCAAGACCCCCACCUGCCUGCCCUGCCUGCUGACCCCGAAGCCCAGCACCCGCCCAUAAGGCCUCCCCCACCUCUUCAUGCCCACGAAGGCUUUGAGCCACAGGCUCCAGCCCUUGAGGUCCCGUGAGUUCAUCCAUAGGUGUGAUGAGGUGGCCACUUGGGUCCUCGCCGGGCUUUCCGCGGAGUGAUACUGGCUCAAGACGGACCCAGGGCGAGUCCUGAGGACACGUCCAGCCCACUGCUGCACACGACAGAUGCUGCAGUCGAUGGAGCCCUGUCUGCACGCUGCUCAGAGCCCAGGAUGAAGGGGCCACAGCAGCAGGGCGGGUUCUCUCAUGCCAAGGGUCCUCCAGACAGCGGGAGCAGCCCUGGUGACUCAUCGUCUCAGAGGAGGAGAAGGAUGGAGGUACAUGUGCGCAGGGCCAUCGCACCCACUUUCCCGUCCCUGCCUCUCAUGUCUGCCCUCAAGAGGAGGUGCCAUAAGGCAAGGGGAAGUCCUCUUGGCCCGGCAUCCAGGGGCCUCAUCCAGUGCCUGGGACACAGUGGGCACAUGAUAAGCGUCCACCUCCACCAGCAUCAGUGAGGCGGAGGCAGAGUGGGAAAGACACGUGAGCCUCAGGAGUGCAGAGAAGUGCCAAUAAGUAUGCAAAUGAGGGCUCCGGAAUGCUCUUCUUACUUUCCAAUUCAAUUCCAGUUACCCGGGGGGUAAAUCUCUAUAAAUUAUGGUGGAGUGUGACUUGUAAAUAACAUUUUUCUGACAUCCCCAAA
This is a non-coding RNA of Ictidomys tridecemlineatus (thirteen-lined ground squirrel), 811 nucleotides long. The record is from RefSeq and is a predicted model, not a curated record. Lineage: Eukaryota; Metazoa; Chordata; Mammalia; Rodentia; Sciuridae.